GACGUAGGGCGCGAGCGUUGUCCGGAUUUAUUGGGCGUAAAGAGCUCGUAGGCGGCUCGUUGCGUCGGCUGUGAAAACCCGCAGCUCAACUGUGGGCUUGCAGCCGAUACGGGCGGGCUGGGAUUCGGUAGGGGAGACUGGAAUUCCUGGUGUAGCGGUGAAAUGCGCAGAUAUCAGGAGGAACACCGGUGGCGAAAGCGGCGCGCUGGACCUCUUCUGACGCUGAGGCGCGAAAGCCAGGGGAGCAAACGGG
RNAcentral lists this ribosomal RNA (253 nucleotides) under uncultured bacterium. RNAcentral's name for it is "partial 16S ribosomal RNA". It matches the Rfam family "Bacterial small subunit ribosomal RNA", at positions 524 to 776 of the family's 1533-position model. The record is from RNAcentral.